GUUGAUCCUGCGGGAGGUCGCCGCUAUCAGAAUUCGAUUUAACUAAGCUAGCCCAGGGGCCUUCGGGCACCGGCAGACAGUUCCGUAACACGUCACUAAUCUACCCUUAAGUCAGGGAUAACCUUGGAAAACUGAGGCUAACACCUGAUAGGAGAUUAUUACUGUAAUGUAUUUUCUCCCAAAGAUUACGCUUAAGGAUGAGGUGGCGCCUGAUUAGGCUGUUGGUGGGGUAAUGGCCCACCAAACCAAAGAUCAGUAGGGGCCUUGAGAGAGGUAGCCCCGAGGAGGACACUGAGAUAAGGGUCCUGACUCUACGGAGUAUAGCAAGUGCGAAACCUUUACAAUGCAUGAAAGUGUGAUAAGGGAAUUCUGAGUGCUUAUGCUUUGCAUAGGCUUUUGUUAAGAGUAAAAAUCUUGGCGAAUAAGUGGUGGGAAAGACUGGUGCCAGCAGCCGCGGUAACACCAGCGCCACAAGUGGGGACCCGUGUUAUUGGGCCUAAAGCGUCCGUAGCCGGUUUUGUUAAUCUUCUGUGAAAUCGUUAGGCUUAACCUAACGGCGUGCAGAAGACACUGCAAGACUAGAGACCGGGAGGAGUCAGAGGUAUUCCUUGGGUAGCGGUAAAAUGCAAUAAUCCAAGGAAGACCACCAGUGGCGAAGGCGUCUGACCAGAACGGUUCUGACGGUGAGGGACGAAAGCCAGGGGAGCGAACCGGAUUAGAUACCCGAGUAGUCCUGGCUGUAAGCGCUGCGAGCUAGGUGUUGCACAUUCCCCGAGAAUGUGCAGUGUCGUAGUGAAGACGUUAAGCUCGCCGCCUGGGUAGUACGGUCGCAAGACUGAAACUUAAAGGAAUUGGCGGGGGAGCACAACAAGGGGUGCGGCGUGCGGUUUAAUCCAACUCAACGCGGAGAAUCUCACCAGAGGCGACGGCAGGAUGAAAGUCAGGCUAAAGACCUUACUCAACAAGCCAGAGGUGGUGCAUGGCCGUCGUCAGCUCGUGCCGUAAGGUGUCCUGUUAAGUCAGGCAACGAGCGAGACCUGUGCCUACAAUUGCCAGCAGCAGUUUUUCUGGACUGGGCACAUUGUAGGAACUGCCUUUGAAAAAAGGAGGAAGGUGCAGGCAACGGUAGGUCUGUAUGCCCCGAAUCCUCUGGGCUACACGCGCGCAACAGUGGUAAGGACAAUGGGAUACAACUCCGAAAGGAGAAGUUAAUCCUCGAAACCUUACCUCAGUUCAGAUUGAGGGUUGUAACUCACCCUCAUCACGACGGAAUCCCUAGUAACCAGAUGUUAGCAUCGUCCGGUGAAUAUGUCCCUGCUCCUUGCACACACCGCCCGUCAAACCAACCGAGCAGGUUUUUGGUAAACCCUAUUUUUUUGAGUAGGUUGAAUCAGAGAUCAGUGAGGUGGGUUAAGUCGUCACAAGGUA
RNAcentral lists this ribosomal RNA (1428 nucleotides) under metagenome. RNAcentral describes it as "bacterial SSU rRNA". It matches the Rfam family "Archaeal small subunit ribosomal RNA". The record is from RNAcentral.